This 276-nucleotide unclassified non-coding RNA is filed under the name Hevea brasiliensis (rubber tree). Lineage: Eukaryota; Viridiplantae; Streptophyta; Magnoliopsida; Malpighiales; Euphorbiaceae. The record is from RNAcentral.
AGAGCCUGUUGUUUAUGAAUUUUUUUUUUUUUUCCCCUGUUCCCAAAUCUCUCCUUCCUUGAGUUCUUCCCCCUCUCUUCCUUUCCCUCUCGGUUAUGUGAAACUCGAAGAAUAAAACAAAACGAAGCAAAAACACUAUCAAAAUCUCUAGGGUUUUUUCAACUCUCAAUCUGUUCAAUCAAACGCUUUCAGAUUCCACUCUCUCCAUCGAAUUCUAUCACUUCCCUGGGUUAUUGCAAUGCACCGUGUGGGUAGUGCAGGGAACAAUUCCAAUUC